This 492-nucleotide ribosomal RNA is filed under the name uncultured bacterium. RNAcentral describes it as "partial 16S ribosomal RNA". It matches the Rfam family "Bacterial small subunit ribosomal RNA", at positions 29 to 507 of the family's 1533-position model. The record is from RNAcentral.
AGUGAGCGCUGGCGGUAGGCCUAACACAUGCAAGUCGAACGGCAGCACAGUAAGAGCUUGCUCUUACGGGUGGCGAGUGGCGGACGGGUGAGGAAUACAUCGGAAUCUACUUUUUCGUGGGGGAUAACGUAGGGAAACUUACGCUAAUACCGCAUACGACCUACGGGUGAAAGCAGGGGAUCUUCGGACCUUGCGCGAUUGAAUGAGCCGAUGUCGGAUUAGCUAGUUGGCGGGGUAAAGGCCCACCAAGGCGACGAUCCGUAGCUGGUCUGAGAGGAUGAUCAGCCACACUGGAACUGAGACACGGUCCAGACUCCUACGGGAGGCAACAGUGGGGAAUAUUGGACAAUGGGCGCAAGCCUGAUCCAGCCAUACCGCGUGGGUGAAGAAGGCCUUCGGGUUGUAAAGCCCUUUUGUUGGGAAAGAAAAGCAGCAGGUUAAUACCCCGCUGUUCUGACGGUACCCAAAGAAUAAGCACCGGCUAACUUCGUG